ACUUCCAGGUAUGGCUGAGAAGGGUGAAAAUGCAUGCACCCACAGACACACACACACACCGUGGAAAUGAGGAAAAGUUACUUCUCUCUGUUGUAAAUUUAAAUGCAGUCCAGAGUAGUGAAGGCCGUUUGUAAGGUCUGCUGAGCUAAUGGAUUCAUAAUGACUUUUAAAGCUUCACUCGGCUGCACUGGGGGAGAGCCUGCUGAAGCUGCUUGAAUCUCAACACUGUCAUACCCGCCAUCUCAUUAUCUACAGCCACAUCUAAAACCCACAUGAAAUACCAAGUCACACGCGGCUCUGGGAAAGACAUUUUACAGAGACCAUCUUAUGAGUUUUUAAUCUGCCUCCUGAGAACUUACAAUCUAAGAAAUAGAAAACUGAUUCCAGUAAGCAUGCCCAGAAUAUGCUAGCAGCAAGAUUAAAACAUGAAACUAUG
RNAcentral lists this long non-coding RNA (436 nucleotides) under Homo sapiens (human). RNAcentral describes it as "HSALNT0365629". The record is from RNAcentral. Lineage: Eukaryota; Metazoa; Chordata; Mammalia; Primates; Hominidae.